GGCCCUACACGAUCCCCGGGACAGUUAGACUGCCUUCGCCUCCCCAAGAUGGAUACCUGAAGGUUCCCACCUAACCUCAGACAGUUGACCAAUCCCAGCUGGGGAGGGGUUGCCAGGGGAGUUGACCAGGUAGGGUUAGGACCACCCUGCACAAACAAUAGAGGGUGGAACUUACCUGGGAGUCCUCAGUUGGCUCCAGAGCUUCUCCCACCCUGCCCUCCCUCAGUUUAUCUGUGACUGGAUUAAAGACUUUCGAAUAGAUCGGACACAAACAGUGAGGAUUGGACAUGUAACAUCUAAUUCCUUAAAAAUCAGCACUGGCACACCACAGGGAUGUGUGCUAAGUCCCUACCUGUAUUCAUUGUAUACAUACGAUUGUGUAACAUCUGACCCGUCUACUGCAGUUAUUAAGUUUGCAGAUGAUACCACCAUAAUGGGUUUAAUAACAGGUGGAGACGAAUCAGCGUAUAGAGGGGAGGUCCAAAAAAUAUCUACAUGGUGCCUAGGGAACAACUUGCACCUUAAUAUCAGCAAGACAAAGGAGAUGGUGUUGGACUUUCGGAGGAAGAGAGGAGAACUAGCCCCGCUGUACAUCGGGGAGGGCUGUGUGGAGAGAGUCUCUUCCUUCAAAUUCCUAGGAGUUUAUCUCAGUGAAGACCUUACUUGGAAAAUCAAUACAACCCAGGUGGUUAAGAAAGCCCAACAGAGACUCCAUCUCCUCAGAGUAUUGCGAAAGAACGAUGUCAAUCAACAUUUGAUGAUCUCCUUCUACCGGUCCACAAUAGAAAGUGUCCUUUCAUACUGCAUCACGGUGUGGUACGCUGGUUUGACAUCAACUGAUAGGAAGUGCCUACAGAGGGUGGUGAAUACAGCACAAGAUAUUAUGGGCUGUCCCGUGAAUCCUCUGGAUGAAAUAGUGGAAGAACGUUGCCUCAGGAGAGUGAGGAAAAUUCUCAGGGAUGAUUCACACCCUGGCCGGCACUUUCUUGAUCUCCUGCCCUCGGGCAGAAGAUAUAGAAGCAUGAUUAGUUGCACCAACAGGGUAAAGAACAGCUUCUAUCCAUGGGCUGUUAGGCUGCUGAAUGAAAAGAUAACAACAGGGCAACUGACUUUUGGGUUUGGUGGGUGUGCGUCAGUAAACGAGGGGAAUUAAGACUAAGAGAGCUGAGUGGGGGGUGCUCGUGUAAUCUCACUGUAUACAAGUUGUACAAGUGACAAUAAAGUAUUCCAAUUUCAAUUUAUGCCUUCCUUUUGCAGGUUAACCUCUUCUUUACAGGUAUGCGGGUUCUGCUACGGUCAUUGAUGGUUGCUGUUGAAGGACCGGGAAGGAAUUUCCCUGCAUCGGCAGGUUUUGCCUUCCCCAUAGCAAAACAUCACAACUUUGGCGGUUUCAGGUCUUGGGCGGAAUCCUAUCUAUCUAUCCUCCCCAAAUGGGGACGGGGGGGCAUGAAGCAGUGACCCACG
RNAcentral lists this long non-coding RNA (1464 nucleotides) under Podarcis lilfordi (Lilford's wall lizard). Lineage: Eukaryota; Metazoa; Chordata; Lepidosauria; Squamata; Lacertidae. The record is from RNAcentral.